UCCCUCAAGCGUGCUCACCCACCCAAGUAAGAAGGGGCAGCACUGCGCUCUCUCCAUAAGAGCGGCUCUGCGAUCAGGAAUUAUUCAUUCUUUCUUCUCACCUCCAUCUGUAAGGAACAGUUGUCCAGCACAGCACAGGAGUACAGAGAGGACACACGAUAACACACACACAGUAGAACAUGUCAGACUCAGAGACCGCCGCUCCCGCUGAGACCCCCGUCCCUGCCGCCUGUGAGGCCAUCAAGGCUGAUCUGGACAAAUGUAUAAAGGAGAACGGAGAAGCGGCUUGUAAGGAGCUAAUGGAGGCAUUUGCUGCCUGUGUAAAGAGCAGUGCUGAGGGCUCAUGAGGAGCUCCAGACACAGGACAUGUCCACUGCACUGAGUCCUCCACCUUCCCAGCAUUCCCUUCAGCACUGGACUGAAUGACUCUGGUGGGAUUUGGCAGCAGAACCCACGUGCCCCCCCUCCCCCACCCUCCCUUAGAGCUGAAACUGAAUCUUCCUGCCCCUCCUGUCCUUUGCAGCCAAAUGUGUCGAUCUAAUCUGUAGACAGUUUGGGAAAGCCCAUGGGUUUUAUGUAAAUUGUCUGUUUUAUUCACUUAAUGGUGAAAUAAAGUUUAAAAGAUUGAUAAGA
Pygocentrus nattereri (red-bellied piranha) is the source of this 633-nucleotide long non-coding RNA. RefSeq lists it as uncharacterized. The transcript is spliced from 4 exons. Lineage: Eukaryota; Metazoa; Chordata; Actinopteri; Characiformes; Serrasalmidae. The record is from RefSeq and is a predicted model, not a curated record.